Molecule: ribosomal RNA, 465 nt
Filed under: uncultured bacterium
Lineage: Bacteria
Description: partial 16S ribosomal RNA
Rfam family: Bacterial small subunit ribosomal RNA
Source: RNAcentral
GACGAACGCUGGCGGCGUGCUUAACACAUGCAAGUCGAACGGAAAGGCCCUGCUUGCAGGGUACUCGAGUGGCGAACGGGUGAGUAACACGUGGGUGAUCUGCCCUGCACUUCGGGAUAAGCCUGGGAAACUGGGUCUAAUACCGGAUAGGAGCCAUUUUUAGUGUGAUGGUUGGAAAGUUUUUUCGGUGUAGGAUGAGCUCGCGGCCUAUCAGCUUGUUGGUGGGGUAAUGGCCUACCAAGGCGGCGACGGGUAGCCGGCCUGAGAGGGUGGACGGCCACAUUGGGGCUGAGAUACGGCCCAGACUCCUACGGGAGGCAGCAGGGGGGAAUAUUGCACAAUGGGCGCAAGCCUGAUGCAGCGACGCCGCGUGGGGGAUGACGGCCUUCGGGUUGGAAACGCAUUUCGCUAGGGACGAAGCUUUUUGUGACGGUACCUAGAUAAGAAGCACCGGCUAACUACGUG